CCCACAUCCUUCCAGCAACGGAUAAAGCAACUCCCCUGGUCUGAACCAAGUGGCUCCAGGUUAAAAUCUGGAUUUUGUGGUUUCCUCUCUCACCUUCUCCAGCUCCUACCAGCACUUCCAGCUUCCUCCAGUUGGAAAUUCCUACCAGCUCUUCCAAGGGUGUUAUGUACGCACAAGUCAAGGUCUCAUACCCAUGUCCUGACCCUGACAGCAUCCCCAAAUGAAUUUCUAGCAGCAGCAGCAGCAAUGCCUUGUCCUGAGACAAACACAGGCAGAUGUGGCUGAAGCUGAAGGGGAGCAUUAAAUGCUCCUUUUCCAGCAGGGCUGGGCACGAUGGAGCAGCCAAGCACCCUGCAAAAGUUGUUCACAUGAGCUCUGCUCUGCUGUCCAGGAGCUGAAUUCCACCCCCUGUACCUCGAGACUGCUUUUCAUCACCCCCCUUCCCUGCUGAGCAGCUUCAUGGCGUAAUAAUUUCAGCUAUAUGAGGAGAAAGAGAAAGAAAGAGCAAAACAAAACCUUUGAGCCAGAUCCUCACCUGAGGCAGCCUUCAUCAGAGGAGCCAAACCUCCCCCAGCCCUGUGUCUGCUUUUCACCAAGGCAAGAGCUGAUACCAAGGUGUGAAAGCCUCUACAAGCAGAGAGACAGGCAGCUGCUUUUUUGUCAGCUCGAUUACUGCUUCAUCCUAAAUAUGUGGAGCAUGUUCAGGACACUUCUCAUGCUGCAAUCUGAAGGCAGAGCAUGAAACUUUGUAAGCUUCAGGAGGGAUUUCAGCUUUCCCUUGAUUUCCUAUUUUACCUCUUGUUAUGUGUUCCAGCAGGAACAACGCAUCGUUCUCCUGCAAGGCCUUUUAUUUAAUGACUUCAAAAUGCUUUGGAACCAUUUGACUUUAUAAUAAGAACUGGGUCAGUCCUGCCUUCCUCAUUUUGGAGAUGAGGACAAACAGGGAGGCUGCCAGCCAGAAAACUGCAAUUAAAAGGAUCCCAAAGAAGAUCAACGUUGCCAAGCCGAGUCUAUCUCUACAACAAACUGGAAGGAUGAUUGAGGGGAAGAAGAGAAUUUUUUUAGAAGAGAAUGGGACUGCAAAAGGUGGUGGGGCCUCCCAAAGCAGCCUUGGGCAGAACUGCAGAACUGCAGCAAGACACCAAAUUAGGGGGGAUUUACCCCAUGGAAUGCUGGUAGGAAACUGCAGAGCCAGUGAUAAUGGCUGGCCAAGACACCUCACAGGGGUUUCUCCUCUCCAUUUCUGCUUUUGUUCAUGGCUCAUCACAGCCUGAGUGUGGAACUCACCAGGAGGGGUUCCAAUUAGCUUUGGUUAUUGCAAGUAAAAUAACACAUCCUGAGGAUAAUAAUAAAAUAUAAAAAAAUAAAAAAAAAUAUAAAUA
Molecule: long non-coding RNA, 1382 nt
Filed under: Cyanistes caeruleus (blue tit)
Lineage: Eukaryota; Metazoa; Chordata; Aves; Passeriformes; Paridae
Description: lncRNA (ENSCCEG00000019655.1)
Source: RNAcentral